This 119-nucleotide ribosomal RNA is filed under the name Pteropus alecto (black flying fox). The record is from RNAcentral. Lineage: Eukaryota; Metazoa; Chordata; Mammalia; Chiroptera; Pteropodidae.
GUCUACGGCCAUGCCACUCUGAACGUGCCCAAUCUCAUCUGAUCUCAGAAGCUAAGUAGGGUCUGGCCUGGUUAGUACUUGGAUGGGAAACCACCUAGGAAUAGCAGGUGCUGUAGGCA